GGCCAAGUAGUUCAGUUGGUUAGAACGCCAGCCUGUCACGCUGGAGGUCGAGGGUUCAAGCCCCUUCUUGGUCGCCA
RNAcentral lists this transfer RNA (77 nucleotides) under Bacillota bacterium. RNAcentral's name for it is "tRNA-Asp". It matches the Rfam family "tRNA". Rfam says of the family: Transfer RNA (tRNA) molecules are approximately 80 nucleotides in length. Their secondary structure includes four short double-helical elements and three loops (D, anti-codon, and T loops). Further hydrogen bonds mediate the characteristic L-shaped molecular structure. tRNAs have two regions of fundamental functional importance: the anti-codon, which is responsible for specific mRNA codon recognition, and the 3' end, to which the tRNAs corresponding amino acid is attached (by aminoacyl-tRNA synthetases). tRNAs cope with the degeneracy of the genetic code in two manners: having more than one tRNA (with a specific anti-codon) for a particular amino acid; and 'wobble' base-pairing, i.e. permitting non-standard base-pairing at the 3rd anti-codon position. Lineage: Bacteria; Bacillati; Bacillota. RNAcentral also lists the same sequence under 2 other names. The record is from RNAcentral.